GGGUCGGUGCCCGAGUGGUUAAUGGGGGCGGACUGUAAAUCCGUUGGCUCUGCCUACGUUGGUUCAAAUCCAACCCGGCCCA
RNAcentral lists this transfer RNA (82 nucleotides) under Synechococcus sp. SB0662_bin_14. RNAcentral's name for it is "tRNA-Tyr". It matches the Rfam family "tRNA". Rfam says of the family: Transfer RNA (tRNA) molecules are approximately 80 nucleotides in length. Their secondary structure includes four short double-helical elements and three loops (D, anti-codon, and T loops). Further hydrogen bonds mediate the characteristic L-shaped molecular structure. tRNAs have two regions of fundamental functional importance: the anti-codon, which is responsible for specific mRNA codon recognition, and the 3' end, to which the tRNAs corresponding amino acid is attached (by aminoacyl-tRNA synthetases). tRNAs cope with the degeneracy of the genetic code in two manners: having more than one tRNA (with a specific anti-codon) for a particular amino acid; and 'wobble' base-pairing, i.e. permitting non-standard base-pairing at the 3rd anti-codon position. RNAcentral also lists the same sequence under 4 other names. The record is from RNAcentral. Lineage: Bacteria; Bacillati; Cyanobacteriota; Cyanophyceae; Synechococcales; Synechococcaceae.